CACCCAGAUCACCAAGACGGUGAAAGGAGGGAUCUCUGAGACUCGCAUUGAGAAGAGAAUCGUCAUCACUGGAGACACUGAAAUUGAUCAUGACAAGGCUUUGGCCCAGGCCAUUAAAGAAGCAAAAGAGC
This is a long non-coding RNA of Lates calcarifer (barramundi perch), 131 nucleotides long. RefSeq lists it as uncharacterized. The record is from RefSeq and is a predicted model, not a curated record. The transcript is spliced from 3 exons. NCBI's taxonomy places the organism in Eukaryota, Metazoa, Chordata, Actinopteri, Centropomidae.